GAUGAACGCUGGCGGCGUGCCUAAUACAUGCAAGUCGAGCGAACAGAUGAGGAGCUUGCUCCUCUGACGUUAGCGGCGGACGGGUGAGUAACACGUGGAUAACCUACCUAUAAGACUGGGAUAACUUCGGGAAACCGGAGCUAAUACCGGAUAAUAUAUUGAACCGCAUGGUUCAAUAGUGAAAGACGGUUUUGCUGUCACUUAUAGAUGGAUCCGCGCCGCAUUAGCUAGUUGGUAAGGUAACGGCUUACCAAGGCAACGAUGCGUAGCCGACCUGAGAGGGUGAUCGGCCACACUGGAACUGAGACACGGUCCAGACUCCUACGGGAGGCAGCAGUAGGGAAUCUUCCGCAAUGGGCGAAAGCUUGACGGAGCAACGCCGCGUGAGUGAUGAAGGUCUUCGGAUCGUAAAACGCUGUUAUUAGGGAAGAACAAAUGUGUAAGUAACUAUGCACGUCUUGACGGUACCUAAUCAGAAAACCACGGCUAACUACGU
This 496-nucleotide ribosomal RNA is filed under the name uncultured bacterium. RNAcentral's name for it is "partial 16S ribosomal RNA". It matches the Rfam family "Bacterial small subunit ribosomal RNA", at positions 28 to 506 of the family's 1533-position model. The record is from RNAcentral.